This 420-nucleotide long non-coding RNA is filed under the name Homo sapiens (human). RNAcentral describes it as "non-protein coding lnc-BRF1-67:1". Lineage: Eukaryota; Metazoa; Chordata; Mammalia; Primates; Hominidae. The record is from RNAcentral.
AGCCAGAGAGCGGAGCAGGUGGGUCCCAGGGCGGCUGCGGCUUUGUGCUUGCUUAGAAGCCACUUUUCGCCACCGCGUUUCCUCUGUGCCAGCUCCCUCCCCACACUGCUCAGCAGCUGCUGCCGGCAGAGGGGAGCUUCCUGCACUUGCUCCUGCCCCUAAUGCCUUUUCUUAACCCUUCGUGUACCUGAUUGCCUUGCUGAUCUUGCAUUACUGGGCAGUCUAAGAGCUCCCCUUUUAAUGCUGCUUGUCGAAGACAGGGACAUAUAGCUGUAGUGUAUUUCCUCUAUUUUUUCUAUCUAUUGAAAGAGGGGGCUCAGGCAAAACCUCCGUUUCCUCUUUGUUAUUUUGGGAAGAGCAGGUGGUAAGGCAAGUGACGUUUCUUCCUCCUUCCCCUUUUUGGGUUCUUCUUUGUAUAAU